This 107-nucleotide small nuclear RNA is filed under the name Sorex araneus (European shrew). Lineage: Eukaryota; Metazoa; Chordata; Mammalia; Eulipotyphla; Soricidae. The record is from RNAcentral.
GUACUCACUUUGGCAGCACAUAUACUAAAGCUGGAAUGAUAUAGAGAAGAUAAGCAUGGCCCCUGCACAAGGAUGACAUGCAAAUUUGUGAAGGAGUGACCCUUGGC